ACGGCUCCUUGGUCAAGCGGUUAAGACACCGCCCUUUCACGGCGGUAACACGGGUUCGAGUCCCGUCGAGACCGUA
This 76-nucleotide transfer RNA is filed under the name Staphylococcus aureus. RNAcentral's name for it is "tRNA-Glu". It matches the Rfam family "tRNA". From Rfam's summary of the family: Transfer RNA (tRNA) molecules are approximately 80 nucleotides in length. Lineage: Bacteria; Bacillati; Bacillota; Bacilli; Caryophanales; Staphylococcaceae. The record is from RNAcentral.